RNAcentral lists this ribosomal RNA (273 nucleotides) under uncultured bacterium. RNAcentral describes it as "partial 16S ribosomal RNA". It matches the Rfam family "Bacterial small subunit ribosomal RNA", at positions 85 to 354 of the family's 1533-position model. The record is from RNAcentral.
CCGCCGGCGACCGGCGCACGGGUGAGUAACACGUAUGCAACCUGGCCGUGACAGAUGGAUAACCGGGAGAAAUCCCGCCUAAUACAACAUAAUGCCGGGAGGGGACAUCCCCUGCCGGCCAAAGGGGGCGACCCCGGUCACGGAUGGGCAUGCGGCGCAUUAGGUAGUUGGUGGGGCAACGGCCCACCAAGCCGACGAUGCGUAGGGGUUCUGAGAGGAAGGUCCCCCACAUUGGAACUGAGACACGGUCCAAACUCUUACGGAAGGCAGCAG